Molecule: long non-coding RNA, 996 nt
Filed under: Equus asinus (donkey)
Lineage: Eukaryota; Metazoa; Chordata; Mammalia; Perissodactyla; Equidae
Description: lncRNA (ENSEASG00005033844.1)
Source: RNAcentral
AUUACCCAAGAAGACCAUACUCCUCAACCCAGUUUUCAAGGCUCUCUUCACUAGAAGUUGGAUUCCCACCUUCCAACUUUCUCUCAUAUGUUUCCAAUUUGUUCCUCAAGACCCAGCUUAGAGCCAGCUACACCUUAUAAGGCAUUGCCUAUGGUUGGAAGUGAAAUCCUGGAUUUCCUCAACAGCUUGGAGUCGGAGGGCUGUUGCUGUGGUUGUGAUUACAGCUGAAGUGCUGAAACCACUUAGUUUCUUGCCUAUGCUAUCAAACCUGAAUUCCAAUUGGCCUCCUGGGCCCCUAUAUCUGAUAAUGGCACCACCACGCUCCCAGGUCCUCGGGGUCUAUAACGUUGAUGCUGACACAUAGUAGGUGCUCAAUAAAUAUUUCACGGCUGGAUGAACCUAAGCAGUUGCCAUGUCCUGUGACAUCUCUCUCUAUAAUUAUCUUCAAUCUGUCAUCCUUUCAUUCCCAUGGUUAUUACCUAUGGUGGAUUAAAGAUGGUCACAAGUUUUUCACAAUGCUCCCAUUGAGAUGUGGGGUGUAUGUCCCCAACUCUUGAAUCUGAGUAGACUCUGUGAUUACUUGAACCAGUGGAAUGCAGUAGAAACGAUGUUCUGUCAGUCUGCGGGCCCAGGAUUUAAGAGGCUGGCAAUUUCCACUUCUUUCCUCUUGAAACUUUUAUUCUUAAAGCCCCGGGCUGCCGAACAGGCCCUGGGACUGCAUGAAGAGGGAGAACAGCCCAACAGAGACCGGCCUUCUGCUAAGGGGCCAGAUAUAAGAGUGAAGCUAUCUUGGACCCUCCAGACCCUCCAAGCCUACCAGCUGAAUACCAUUAAGUGACUCCAGGUGGUGUUAUGUGGAACAGAAGAAUCAUUCAGCUGAGUCCUGGAUCCAUCCUACACAAUUGUAGCUGAGCCUGAAUUCCUCAUCUUCACAGUUGUAAGAUAUAAUAAAAUUGUUGUCAUUUUAAGCCCUUACAUUUUGGAGUGAUUUGUAAG